Molecule: ribosomal RNA, 2363 nt
Filed under: Mycobacterium tuberculosis UT0014
Lineage: Bacteria; Bacillati; Actinomycetota; Actinomycetes; Mycobacteriales; Mycobacteriaceae
Also listed under: 1 other name
Description: bacterial LSU rRNA
Rfam family: Bacterial large subunit ribosomal RNA
Source: RNAcentral
GUAAGUGUCUAAGGGCGCAUGGUGGAUGCCUUGGCAUCGAGAGCCGAUGAAGGACGUGGGAGGCUGCGAUAUGCCUCGGGGAGCUGUCAACCGAGCGUGGAUCCGAGGAUUUCCGAAUGGGGAAACCCAGCACGAGUGAUGUCGUGCUACCCGCAUCUGAAUAUAUAGGGUGCGGGAGGGAACGCGGGGAAGUGAAACAUCUCAGUACCCGUAGGAGGAGAAAACAAUUGUGAUUCCGCAAGUAGUGGCGAGCGAACGCGGAACAGGCUAAACCGCACGCAUGGGUAACCGGGUAGGGGUUGUGUGUGCGGGGUUGUGGGAGGAUAUGUCUCAGCGCUACCCGGCUGAGAGGCAGUCAGAAAGUGUCGUGGUUAGCGGAAGUGGCCUGGGAUGGUCUGCCGUAGACGGUGAGAGCCCGGUACGCGAAAACCCGGCACCUGCCUAGUAUCAAUUCCCGAGUAGCAGCGGGCCCGUGGAAUCCGCUGUGAAUCCGCCGGGACCACCCGGUAAGCCUAAAUACUCCUCGAUGACCGAUAGCGGAUUAGUACCGUGAGGGAAUGGUGAAAAGUACCCCGGGAGGGGAGUGAAAGAGUACCUGAAACCGUGUGCCUACAAUCCGUCAGAGCCUCCUUUUCCUCUCCGGAGGAGGGUGGUGAUGGCGUGCCUUUUGAAGAAUGAGCCUGCGAGUCAGGGACAUGUCGCAAGGUUAACCCGUGUGGGGUAGCCGCAGCGAAAGCGAGUCUGAAUAGGGCGACCCACACGCGCAUACGCGCGUGUGAAUAGUGGCGUGUUCUGGACCCGAAGCGGAGUGAUCUACCCAUGGCCAGGGUGAAGCGCGGGUAAGACCGCGUGGAGGCCCGAACCCACUUAGGUUGAAGACUGAGGGGAUGAGCUGUGGGUAGGGGUGAAAGGCCAAUCAAACUCCGUGAUAGCUGGUUCUCCCCGAAAUGCAUUUAGGUGCAGCGUUGCGUGGUUCACCGCGGAGGUAGAGCUACUGGAUGGCCGAUGGGCCCUACUAGGUUACUGACGUCAGCCAAACUCCGAAUGCCGUGGUGUAAAGCGUGGCAGUGAGACGGCGGGGGAUAAGCUCCGUACGUCGAAAGGGAAACAGCCCAGAUCGCCGGCUAAGGCCCCCAAGCGUGUGCUAAGUGGGAAAGGAUGUGCAGUCGCAAAGACAACCAGGAGGUUGGCUUAGAAGCAGCCACCCUUGAAAGAGUGCGUAAUAGCUCACUGGUCAAGUGAUUGUGCGCCGAUAAUGUAGCGGGGCUCAAGCACACCGCCGAAGCCGCGGCACAUCCACCUUGUGGUGGGUGUGGGUAGGGGAGCGUCCCUCAUUCAGCGAAGCCACCGGGUGACCGGUGGUGGAGGGUGGGGGAGUGAGAAUGCAGGCAUGAGUAGCGACAAGGCAAGUGAGAACCUUGCCCGCCGAAAGACCAAGGGUUCCUGGGCCAGGCCAGUCCGCCCAGGGUGAGUCGGGACCUAAGGCGAGGCCGACAGGCGUAGUCGAUGGACAACGGGUUGAUAUUCCCGUACCCGUGUGUGGGCGCCCGUGACGAAUCAGCGGUACUAACCACCCAAAACCGGAUCGAUCACUCCCCUUCGGGGGUGUGGAGUUCUGGGGCUGCGUGGGAACUUCGCUGGUAGUAGUCAAGCGAAGGGGUGACGCAGGAAGGUAGCCGUACCAGUCAGUGGUAACACUGGGGCAAGCCGGUAGGGAGAGCGAUAGGCAAAUCCGUCGCUCACUAAUCCUGAGAGGUGACGCAUAGCCGGUUGAGGCGAAUUCGGUGAUCCUCUGCUGCCAAGAAAAGCCUCUAGCGAGCACACACACGGCCCGUACCCCAAACCGACACAGGUGGUCAGGUAGAGCAUACCAAGGCGUACGAGAUAACUAUGGUUAAGGAACUCGGCAAAAUGCCCCCGUAACUUCGGGAGAAGGGGGACCGGAAUAUCGUGAACACCCUUGCGGUGGGAGCGGGAUCCGGUCGCAGAAACCAGUGAGGAGCGACUGUUUACUAAAAACACAGGUCCGUGCGAAGUCGCAAGACGAUGUAUACGGACUGACGCCUGCCCGGUGCUGGAAGGUUAAGAGGACCCGUUAACCCGCAAGGGUGAAGCGGAGAAUUUAAGCCCCAGUAAACGGCGGUGGUAACUAUAACCAUCCUAAGGUAGCGAAAUUCCUUGUCGGGUAAGUUCCGACCUGCACGAAUGGCGUAACGACUUCUCAACUGUCUCAACCAUAGACUCGGCGAAAUUGCACUACGAGUAAAGAUGCUCGUUACGCGCGGCAGGACGAAAAGACCCCGGGACCUUCACUACAACUUGGUAUUGAUGUUCGGUACGGUUUGUGUAGGAUAGGUGGGAGA